Molecule: long non-coding RNA, 186 nt
Filed under: Chelydra serpentina (North American snapping turtle)
Lineage: Eukaryota; Metazoa; Chordata; Testudines; Chelydridae
Description: Nuclear RNase P (ENSCSRG00000012350.1)
Rfam family: Nuclear RNase P
About the family: Ribonuclease P (RNase P) is a ubiquitous endoribonuclease, found in archaea, bacteria and eukarya as well as chloroplasts and mitochondria.
Source: Rfam by way of RNAcentral
GCUCACUGGGAAGUUCAUCACUAAGGUCAUGCUUUGGGUGUUUAUCAUUCAUGCUCAAUACUUUGGGGAAGGUCUGAGAUAAGAGCCAAUGACUGCCCUGUGGGUAUCACCUAAUGACUUACUACUAAGGGCUUGGCUACACUUGCAGCUGUAGAGCACUUUGGGUUAAACCAGCCUUCAGAGAGC